This 253-nucleotide ribosomal RNA is filed under the name uncultured prokaryote. RNAcentral's name for it is "partial 16S ribosomal RNA". It matches the Rfam family "Bacterial small subunit ribosomal RNA", at positions 525 to 777 of the family's 1533-position model. The record is from RNAcentral.
ACGUAGGUGGCAAGCGUUGUCCGGAAUUAUUGGGCGUAAAGCGCGCGCAGGCGGUCCUUUAAGUCUGAUGUGAAAGCCCACGGCUCAACCGUGGAGGGUCAUUGGAAACUGGGGGACUUGAGUGCAGGAGAGGAACGCGGAAUUCCAGGUGUAGCGGUGAAAUGCGUAGAUAUCUGGAGGAACACCGGUGGCGAAGGCGGCGUUCUGGACUGUAACUGACACUGAGGAACGAAAGCCAGGGGAGCAAACGGGA